ACGGACGCUGGCGGCGUGCCUAAUACAUGCAAGUAGAACGCUGAAGAGAGGAGCUUACUCUUCUUGGAUGAGUUGCGAACGGGUGAGUAACGCGUAGGUAACCUGCCUUGUAGCGGGGGAUAACUAUUGGAAACGAUAGCUAAUACCGCAUAACAAUGGAUGACACAUGUCAUUUAUUUGAAAGGGGCAAUUGCUCCACUACAAGAUGGACCUGCGUUGUAUUAGCUAGUAGGUGAGGUAAUGGCUCACCUAGGCGACGAUACAUAGCCGACCUGAGAGGGUGAUCGGCCACACUGGGACUGAGACACGGCCCAGACUCCUACGGGAGGCAGCAGUAGGGAAUCUUCGGCAAUGGGGGCAACCCUGACCGAGCAACGCCGCGUGAGUGAAGAAGGUUUUCGGAUCGUAAAGCUCUGUUGUAAGUCAAGAACGGGUGUGAGAGUGGAAAGUUCACACUGUGACGGUAGCUUACCAGAAAGGGACGGCUAACUACGUG
RNAcentral lists this ribosomal RNA (496 nucleotides) under uncultured bacterium. RNAcentral's name for it is "partial 16S ribosomal RNA". It matches the Rfam family "Bacterial small subunit ribosomal RNA", at positions 29 to 507 of the family's 1533-position model. The record is from RNAcentral.